RNAcentral lists this ribosomal RNA (253 nucleotides) under uncultured bacterium. RNAcentral describes it as "partial 16S ribosomal RNA". It matches the Rfam family "Bacterial small subunit ribosomal RNA", at positions 524 to 776 of the family's 1533-position model. The record is from RNAcentral.
UACGGAGGGUGCAAGCGUUGUCCGGAUUUAUUGGGUUUAAAGGGUGCGUAGGUGGUCUAUUAAGUCAGUGCUGAAAUAUCCCGGCUUAACCGGGAGGGUGGCAUUGAUACUGAUGGACUUGAGUGGAGUCGAGGUAGGCGGAAUUGACGGUGUAGCGGUGAAAUGCUUAGAUAUCGUCAAGAACACCGAUAGUGUAGACAGCUUACUAGGCUCUAACUGACGCUGAGGAGCGAAAGCGUGGGGAGCAAACAGG